RNAcentral lists this long non-coding RNA (1608 nucleotides) under Homo sapiens (human). Its description in RNAcentral is "HSALNT0230954". Lineage: Eukaryota; Metazoa; Chordata; Mammalia; Primates; Hominidae. The record is from RNAcentral.
GUGCUGGGAUUACACAUGUGAGCCAUCGCACCUGGCCAGAUAUUGUACGACCUUUCAUGAUCUAGCCUCAGAAGUCAGAGAGCAUCAUUUGUACCAUAAUCAUGAGGCCACUCAGAUUCAGGUGCAGGAGGCACAUCUCAUUGGCAGCAAGUCAAAAGUCACAUUGUAAGGAGAGCAGUUUUGGAAGCCUUUUCUGUCUGAGAACAUAUCUGAGGAAGUGAAGACAAUUUGGUGGAACAAGCACAUAAAUUAAAGCCAGUAACAUCAAAGAAAAAUACUGUCAGAGUUAUGCAGGUUUCUUUUUAAUUGGAAUUUAUAAUUGCUCCUAAUUAUAGGACAUACUUUAAAUGUUACUUUGAGAGGCUGAGGGAGGGGGUGGAGCCCUGUCCACUCUAGCCUCAUGAGCUAUAACCUUGACAUUUUAAUUAGAUAUUAUUUUGAAAUAUGUAAAAGGGAUUUACAUACUCGGUGAAACAUAUCAUUGACUGUGCAAUUUGCCCAAGAAGACAAAAUGAUACACAGUUUUAAAAAUAAUCAACUUCUCAAAGGAAUGGUAGAAAUUCUUAAGAGGGGUGAAAGCAACAAAAUAUGUCAGCAUUGUGUACACGUUCAGGUUUUCUAGUUUCCUCUGAGCAAAAUUUCUUCUUCUUCAUAGCAAGCCUGUGUCGGUGGCAGUGUGCAAACAAAGGGAAGUGCGUCCAGUUGAUUUAUGGGCCACACACACCCAUCCUGUAGAUAAAAAGGGAGGUCAGAAGAGAGUCGGGAAUCUUCUCUUUGAAGACAAUUUCUGGUGCCAUAUUACUUGACUACAGGAGGAUGAUUAAAACAAACCCUUAAGUCUCUUUCUCAUGAGAUGCCUUGCUUUUUUAUGCUUCAAUAAAUUAACAAUUUGGGACAAAAGUAAUAGGAGAGAUGGGACAAGACCAUCUUUCAAACUUUGCCAUCAUAAGUUAACUAGGGGUCUAACGACAUGGAAUUUAUUGCGGAUAUCCAGCAGUUGGGGAAACAUACUUAUAGAAUUUAUGGAAUUCUUCCAGGAAGGAAGAGAUGGAAUGGAGAGCCUCAUUGUUCUCCACCCAAAUUAAACAUUAUUGUAAUCUUUCAGAAUAUUGGGCUCUAUUCCAAACCCAAAAAUAGGGAGGAAGUAGAAGUGUCCUAAAUUAACUUUUGAAGAGGUUGAAACAGAAGGCUGGUGGUGAAAGGAGAGCUUUGCCAUACAUGAGGCUCUGGGUGCCAGACCCUACCCUGCCAUCCUGGGCAUUGUACUUGGAGACUUUGUAGGAACAAAGAUACCUACUUUGAGUGUUGGUUCUCUGGCAGAAUUUGGAAGGAAUGCCCUGAUUGUUGGGCUCCACUGUCCAUUGAAGGACUUACCACCAGGGUCAGGAUCUGAACUGGAGGAUGUGGUGGCCAUUGGAAUGCACAGCUUGCCCAGAGCCCCUCAUCUCAGGCCCAGCAGGCACCCUGGGCUUCAGCCAUGGCUGCACCAGAGAGGGGAAAUGUUUUCCAUCCCGUGUCAUGUCUAGGGCCCCAGUGAGGGGCACUCGCAUCAUUGCCUCCUCCAUCCCCAAGGGGAUUCCCCUUAACUAUGUCAUAGCAUAGAGAGAG